ACAGCAGCCGCCACGGUAAUACGAGGGGGGCAAGCGUUGUUCGGAUUUAUUGGGCGUAAAGGGUGCGUAGGCGGUUUGGCAAGUUUGGUGUGAAAUCUUCGGGCUCAACUCGAAGUCUGCAUCAAAAACUGCCGGGCUUGAGUAUGGGAGAGGUGAGUGGAAUUUCCGGUGUAGCGGUGAAAUGCGUAGAUAUCGGAAGGAACACCUGUGGCGAAAGCGGCUCACUGGACCAUAACUGACGCUGAGGCACGAAAGCUAGGGGAGCAAACAGGAUUAGAUACCCGCGUAGUCCCUGUCUCUUAUAC
This 305-nucleotide ribosomal RNA is filed under the name uncultured bacterium. Its description in RNAcentral is "partial 16S ribosomal RNA". It matches the Rfam family "Bacterial small subunit ribosomal RNA", at positions 508 to 807 of the family's 1533-position model. The record is from RNAcentral.